Heterocephalus glaber (naked mole-rat) is the source of this 100-nucleotide small nuclear RNA. The record is from Ensembl. NCBI's taxonomy places the organism in Eukaryota, Metazoa, Chordata, Mammalia, Rodentia, Bathyergidae.
UUGCUUCAGCAGCACUUAGAGUAAAAUCAGAAUCGUAUAGAGAUGAGUUUGGCCCCUUCACAUGGAUGACACGAAAAUUCAGGACAUGUUCCACAUUUCU